GGAGUUAGCCGGUGCUUCUUCUGUGAGUGAUGUCCUUCCUGCCGGUUAUUGACCCGCAGGCCUUCUUCCUCACUGAAAGUGCUUUACAACCCGAAGGCCUUCUUCACACACGCGGCAUGGCUGGAUCAGGGUUGCCCCCAUUGUCCAAUAUUCCCCACUGCUGCCUCCCGUAGGAGUCUGGGCCGUGUCUCAGUCCCAGUGUGGCUAAUCAUCCUCUCAGACCAGCUACGGAUCGUCGCCUUGGUGAGCCGUUACCUCACCAACCAGCUAAUCCGACAUAGGCUCAUCCGAUAGCGCGAGGCCCGAAGGUCCCCCGCUUUCCCCCGUAGGGCGUAUGCGGUAUUAGCCUGGGUUUCCCCAGGUUAUCCCCCACUACCGGGCAGAUUCCUAUGCAUUACUCACCCGUCCGCCGCUCGCCACCAGGGAGCAAGCUCCCCGUGCUGCCGCUCGACUUGCAUGUGUUAGGCCUGCCGCCAGCGUUCAAUCUGAGCCAGAAUCGAACCCUGA
Molecule: ribosomal RNA, 507 nt
Filed under: uncultured bacterium
Lineage: Bacteria
Description: partial 16S ribosomal RNA
Source: RNAcentral